This 1230-nucleotide long non-coding RNA is filed under the name Mytilus galloprovincialis (Mediterranean mussel). Lineage: Eukaryota; Metazoa; Mollusca; Bivalvia; Mytilida; Mytilidae. The record is from RNAcentral.
UUUAUUAUUUUUCUGGGACGCCUUCAUACGACGUUCGUAGGAAGGCGUCCCAGAAAAAAAAUUAACAUAGCCUUGCGGUUAUAGGAAGGUGUUCCAGAAUAAAAUUAAAAAGCCUUGCCAGACGUAAUAAUUAUUUGGACUAUUCAUAUAUAUAUAUAUAUCAUUAAAAAUACACCAAAAAAGUCAUUAGUUGAGAAAAAUAAAUAUAUACAAAAUGUACAUGAACACCCAAAAAUGUGAAAGUUAGUACAUUUAUGUAUUUAACUCUUUUUGCUUAAAUACUGAAAAAAAUUCUGGCAACCCCUUUCUUAUUUUUACCCUAUUGCGUAAAAUACUGUUAAAAAUAUAUAUUUAACAUGGGUGACGAAUUGACUAUAUCAGGUGUCGAUUUUAACCAGGUGCUGAUUUGUCCAGGUGCCAAUUUAACUAGGUGCCAGUUUGACUAGAAUUCUUUGACAAAUGUUUGAAACUAUCUGAGUUUCAUUAGACCUUUGAUAGCAGUAACAAAAAGAUUAUUUACUUAAUAUUUUGUGGGAGAAGGGGGUUCAGACUGUGUGGUAUCAGGUCUGUUUGUGCCCAAUACAUUUUCGCACCCUACACGUUCGCACAUUCACACUCUACUCAUUCGCGCCCAAUUUUAAUUCAAAUUCAAGUUGAAUAAUUGGAAAAUCAUGGUUGUUGUUUUAAAUUGCUUUGGUGUAAAUACUGAAUGUAUUUAUAGCUUGGUAUGAGUAAAACAUUGAAGAUUUAAAAGGAAAAAACACAAAAGAUAAUUGUUUUUAACAGCUUGGUCCCAUUGAUCUGAAACAACGAAACAAUAAAACAUAGCAAUCCACUAAUAUAACCAAAACAUGAUAAAAUUUAUUCAACACGCAGAAACAAACAUAGUCAGAAUCUCACUUCAUUUUGAAACAAGUCAAUGAAACAAGUUAUAGCAAUACACUAACCAAAACAUGAUUAGAGUUAUUCAACACAAAAUAAAACGUUGACAAAAUACCACUUUAUUUAGAAAGGAUUAUUAUUAUUUUUAGCAAUACCUUAUCCAAAACAUGAUUAAGAUUUAUUCAACACAAAAAAAAAUUGCUGUCUCACUUUAUUUUGAGACAAUGACAACAAUUAUACUUAUAAGAAAACACUUGCUUACAGAGUUAUUAAACACAAAACCAAUUAAGAUUGGGUGCGAACAAUGUAGGGUGUGAAAGUGACAGGGGUGAAAAUGAGUGGGCGCAA